AAACGGCCAUAUCCAAUGUUGUUCAAGUAUGGCACAGAGGACUGUCAAGCUCGUUUUGUGGAAUCCUUAGGACAAGUGAUCCAAAUGUUAGCAGCAGAAGAAGCCACACCAAACUGCAUGUAUGAUUUCAGCAGCAUGAAGGGAGCUGGGACACAAAGACUUCCCCUGACAGACAGUGCUGGUGGAUACAGCCAACAUCUGGAGGAACACCUGCAGCCAUCACAUUAAAGCCGUGACAAACGUGGACAGCAGGUCAGGGUGAGGUGGCGGCCAAUCUUACCCACAGGUUGACAGAAUAAGGGGAAAGAAAAAUUGAGUGUUCAGUGUUUGAAUAAAAGGUGCAUUGUGUGGUGCUGGAGCCGUCCUGAG
This is a long non-coding RNA of Micropterus dolomieu (smallmouth bass), 369 nucleotides long. RefSeq lists it as uncharacterized. NCBI's taxonomy places the organism in Eukaryota, Metazoa, Chordata, Actinopteri, Centrarchiformes, Centrarchidae. The record is from RefSeq and is a predicted model, not a curated record. The transcript has 3 exons.